This is a non-coding RNA of Myodes glareolus (Bank vole), 457 nucleotides long. Lineage: Eukaryota; Metazoa; Chordata; Mammalia; Rodentia; Cricetidae. The record is from RefSeq and is a predicted model, not a curated record.
CUCAAUUAAAAUCUACAUUCACAACUUACAAGAGACUGAAAAGAGCCUUACCUUAACAAUGACUUCUGCAGUCAGGAAUCUGGGGAAAAGCCGUCCUCACUCACUGAGCAGGGAGCUUGGCAAAGGACCCAUGAACAGCUGUGAGGAGGAGGGCACUGGCUGGUCAGUGCCAUUACUACUGCCUGCGACUGGCUUCAAACUCACAGAGGGCCACCGGCCUCACCUCCUGAUUACUGGAAUUAAAGGUAAGGGCCAACUCACCCAGCUGAGCUCCAUUUUUUAUUCUUUCCUUGCUCUACUUAUAUCAAGCAAGGGAUAAGUUCUGCUAGCUCUUCCCAGAACAAUUUUUCUAUCUGUGAUAACUAGUAAUGGAGAUGCAGUAAUGAAGGCAUUUUCUUCCAUCAGCCUUUCAAAUUUUUGGUUACUCUCAUUCAAAUCAAUUAUGUACUACUAUCAG